AUGCUCGACACCUACGGGAGGCGGCAGUGGGGAAUAUUGCACAAUGGGGGAAACCCUGAUGCAGCAACGCCGCGUGAAGGAAGACGGUUUUCGGAUUGUAAACUUCUGUUCUUAGUGAAGAUAGUGACGGUAGCUAAGGAGCAAGCCACGGCUAACUACGUGCCGGCAGCCGCGGUAAUCUGAGCGGGCUGGCAAGGC
This 198-nucleotide ribosomal RNA is filed under the name uncultured bacterium. RNAcentral describes it as "partial 16S ribosomal RNA". It matches the Rfam family "Bacterial small subunit ribosomal RNA", at positions 328 to 539 of the family's 1533-position model. The record is from RNAcentral.